Molecule: ribosomal RNA, 301 nt
Filed under: uncultured bacterium
Lineage: Bacteria
Description: partial 16S ribosomal RNA
Rfam family: Bacterial small subunit ribosomal RNA
Source: RNAcentral
CAGCAGCCGCGGUAAUACGAAGGGGGCUAGCGUUGUUCGGAUUUACUGGGCGUAAAGCGCACGUAGGCGGACUUUUAAGCCAGGGGUGAAAUCCCGGGGCUCAACCCCGGAACUGCCUUUGAUACUGGAAGUCUUGAGUAUGGUAGAGGUGAGUGGAAUUCCGAGUGUAGAGGUGAAAUUCGUAGAUAUUCGGAGGAACACCAGUGGCGAAGGCGGCUCACUGGACCAUCACUGACGCUGAGGUGCGAAGGCGUGGGGAGCAAACAGGAUUAGAUACCCCUGUAGUCCCUGUCUCUUAUAC